RNAcentral lists this ribosomal RNA (245 nucleotides) under uncultured bacterium. RNAcentral describes it as "partial 16S ribosomal RNA". It matches the Rfam family "Bacterial small subunit ribosomal RNA", at positions 524 to 768 of the family's 1533-position model. The record is from RNAcentral.
GACAGAGGGUGCAAACGUUGUUCGGAAUUACUGGGCGUAAAGCGCGUGUAGGCGGUCUUGCAAGUCGGAUGUGAAAGCCCUCGGCUCAACCGGGGAAGUGCACUCGAAACUGCGAGACUGGAGUCCCGGAGAGGAUAGUGGAAUUCUCGGUGUAGAGGUGAAAUUCGUAGAUAUCGAGAGGAACACCUGUGGCGAAGGCGGCUAUCUGGACGGUGACUGACGCUGAGACGCGAAAGCGUGGGGAG